GAUUAACGCUGGCGGCGUGCAUAACACAUGCAAGUCGAACGAUGAAACUUUACUGACUUCUUCGGAAUGAUUUAAAGCGGAUUAGUGGCGAACGGGUGAGUAACGCGUGAGUAACCUGCCUUACACAAGGGGAUAGCCUCUGGAAACGGAGAAUAAUACCCUAUGAAACCAGACAAUCGCAUGAUAAUCUGGUCAAAAUGUUUAGUGGUGUAAGAUGGACUUGCGUCUGAUUAGCUAGUUGGUGAGAUAAAAGCUCACCAAGGCAACGAUCAGUAGCCGGCUUGAGAGAGUGUACGGCCACAUUGGGACUGAGACACGGCCCAGACUCCGACGGGAGGCAGCAGUGGGGAAUUUUGCACAAUGGGGGAAACCCUGAUGCAGCGACGCCGCGUGAUUUAGAAGGCCUUCGGGUUGUAAAAAUCUUUUGUAUAGGAAGAAAAUGACAGUACUAUACGAAUAAGGUCCGGCUAAUUACGUG
RNAcentral lists this ribosomal RNA (478 nucleotides) under uncultured bacterium. RNAcentral describes it as "partial 16S ribosomal RNA". It matches the Rfam family "Bacterial small subunit ribosomal RNA", at positions 28 to 507 of the family's 1533-position model. The record is from RNAcentral.